This 406-nucleotide ribosomal RNA is filed under the name uncultured bacterium. RNAcentral's name for it is "partial 16S ribosomal RNA". It matches the Rfam family "Bacterial small subunit ribosomal RNA", at positions 30 to 526 of the family's 1533-position model. The record is from RNAcentral.
AUUGAACGCUAGCGGCAGGCCUAACACAUGCAAGUCGAACGAGUGGCGGACGGGUGAGUAAUGUCUGGGAAACUGCCUGAUGGAGGGGGAUAACUACUGGAAACGGUAGCUAAUACCGCAUACCAUCGGAUGUGCCCAGAUGGGAUUAGCUAGUAGGUGGGGUAAAGGCUCACCUAGGCGACGAUCCCUAGCUGGUCUGAGAGGAUGACCAGCCACACUGGAACUGAGACACGGUCCAGACUCCUACGGGAGGCAGCAGUGGGGAAUAUUGGACAAUGGGAGCAAGCCUGAUGCAGCCAUGCCGCGUGUAUGAAGAAGGCCUUCGGGUUGUAAAGUACUUUCAGCAGGGAGGCGUUACCUGCAGAAGAAGCACCGGCUAACUACGUGCCAGCAGCCGCGGUAAUAC